RNAcentral lists this ribosomal RNA (433 nucleotides) under Streptomyces sp. LB8. Its description in RNAcentral is "partial 23S ribosomal RNA". It matches the Rfam family "Bacterial large subunit ribosomal RNA", at positions 1218 to 1550 of the family's 2925-position model. The record is from RNAcentral. Lineage: Bacteria; Bacillati; Actinomycetota; Actinomycetes; Kitasatosporales; Streptomycetaceae.
GCUGGGUUGGGUAGGGGAGCGUCGUCUGCCGGGUGAAGCGGCACCGGAAGGUAGUCGUGGAUGGUUGACGAGUGAGAAUGCAGGCAUGAGUAGCGUUUCACACGUGAGAAACGUGUGCGCCGAUUGACCAAGGGUUCCUGGGUCAAGCUGAUCUGCCCAGGGUAAGUCGGGACCUAAGGCGAGGCCGACAGGCGUAGUCGAUGGACAACCGGUUGAUAUUCCGGUACCCGCUGUGGUGCGACCAGCAUCGAAUCCAGUGAUGCUAAGCCCGUGAAGCCGCCGGCUGAUUCUUCGGAUGAGGUCGGAUGGGUGGAGCCGGUGACCCGAGCUGGUAGUAGGUGAGCGAUGGGGUGACGCAGGAAGGUAGUCCAGCCCGGGCGGUGGUUGUCCCGGGGUAAGGGUGUAGCCCGAGUGGUAGGCAAAUCCGCCACUC